AGUGAACGCUGGCGGUAGGCCUAACACAUGCAAGUCGAACGGCAGCACAGUAAGAGCUUGCUCUUACGGGUGGCGAGUGGCGGACGGGUGAGGAAUACAUCGGAAUCUACUUUUUCUUGGGGGAUAACGUAGGGAAACUUACGCUAAUACCGCAUACGACCUACGGGUGAAAGCAGGGGAUCUUCGGACCUUGCGCGAUUGAUUGAGCCGAUGUCGGAUUAGCUAGUUGGCGGGGUAAAGGCCCACCAAGGCAACGAUCCGUAGCCGGUCUGAGAGGAUGAUCAGCCACACUGGAACUGAGACACGGUCCAGACUCCUACGGGAGGCAGCAGUGGGGAAUCUUGGGCAAUGGGCGAAAGCCUGAUGGAGCAACGCCGCGUGGGUGAAGAAGGGCUUCGGGUUGGAAAACCCUGUUAUUGGGGAAGAAAAGAUGUGUGAUUAACUCCGCACGUUUUGACGGUACCUAAACAAAAAGCCACGGCUAACUUCGUG
This 492-nucleotide ribosomal RNA is filed under the name uncultured bacterium. RNAcentral describes it as "partial 16S ribosomal RNA". It matches the Rfam family "Bacterial small subunit ribosomal RNA", at positions 29 to 507 of the family's 1533-position model. The record is from RNAcentral.